GGAGAGGUGGCCGAGUGGCCGAAGGCGGCACAUUGCUAAUGUGUUGUAGGUGAAAGCCUACCGGGAGUUCGAAUCUCCCCCUCUCCG
RNAcentral lists this transfer RNA (87 nucleotides) under Candidatus Eiseniibacteriota bacterium. RNAcentral's name for it is "tRNA-Ser". It matches the Rfam family "tRNA". From Rfam's summary of the family: Transfer RNA (tRNA) molecules are approximately 80 nucleotides in length. Their secondary structure includes four short double-helical elements and three loops (D, anti-codon, and T loops). The record is from RNAcentral. Lineage: Bacteria; Candidatus Eiseniibacteriota.